RNAcentral lists this ribosomal RNA (1212 nucleotides) under uncultured fungus. RNAcentral describes it as "eukaryotic LSU rRNA". The stretch from base 577 to 1212 matches the Rfam family "Eukaryotic large subunit ribosomal RNA", at positions 1 to 649 of the family's 3401-position model. The record is from RNAcentral. Lineage: Eukaryota; Fungi.
AAGUCGUAACAAGGUUUCCGUAGGUGAACCUGCGGAAGGAUCAUUAAAGAAAAUUAGGAUUGGUGUUUUAAAGGCAACGCGAAUUACUUUUAACCCUUAUGUUUACCUCUUCUGUUUUCUUCUGUCUGGGUAUCUUAGCUGUAUUUUAGGUGCUGAAAAGUUCUAUUACAGCCGAUUUAUCUUGCUAGGAGGAACACACACAACAAUCUUAAGUUAUUAUAUUUAAUUAUUAAAAACUUUCAACAACGGAUCUCUUGGUUCUGGCAUCGAUGAAGAACGCAGCAAAAUGCGAUAAGUAAUGUGAAUUGCAGAAUUUAGUGAAUCAUCGAAUUUUUGAACGCACAUUGCGCCUUUUGGUAUUCCAAAAGGCAUGCCUGUUUGAGCGUCAUUACUCACUUCAAGCCUCAUACUUUUUAGGCUUGGUUUUGGCUAUAAAAAUGCGUCUUAAGGCAAGUUUUUUAGGCUUAAAAAUGACUCCAAGACAGCUGAAGUAGCAUUUUGGCGUACCAAGAUAAUACAAUAUAUUACCUGCCAUGCACACCAGUUUUGCUCUUGCUAGUAAUUAAACAUAAAUUUUGACCUCAGAUCAGGUGGGGGAUACCCGCUGAACUUAAGCAUAUCAAUAAGCGGAGGAAAAGAAACCAACAGGGAUUGCCUCAGUAACGGCGAGUGAAGCGGCAAUAGCUCAAAUUUGAAAUCUGGCUUCUGGGCCCGAGUGUAAUUUGUAGAGGAUGCUUUGGUUAAACUACUAGUUUAAGUUCUUUGGAACAGGACGUCCUAGAGGGUGAGAAUCCCGUAUGCGACUAGAUUAGUUCUUACCAUGUAAAGCUCCUUCAAUGAGUCAAGUUGUUUGGGAAUGCAGCUUAAAAUGGGUGGUAAAUUUCAUCUAAAGCUAAAUACUGGCCAGAGACCGAUAGCGCGCAAGUAGAGUGAUCGAAAGAUGAAAAGCACUUUGGAAAGAGAGUUAAACAGUACGUGAAAUUGUUGAAAGGGAAGCGCUUGCAAUCAGACUUGUCCAUUUGUGAUCUGCCGGCAUUUUUGCAGGUUUAUUCAUAGGUGAUCAGGCCAACAUUGAUUUGAGUGGUUGGAUAAAGGCCCUAAGAAUUCAGCUCCUCUUGGGGAGUGUUGCUUAGCUUAGGGUGCAAUGCAGCCUACUUGGAUCAAGGACCGCGCAUUUUUGCUAGGAUGUUGGCAUAAUGGUUGUAAGCGACC